This 478-nucleotide ribosomal RNA is filed under the name uncultured organism. RNAcentral's name for it is "partial 16S ribosomal RNA". It matches the Rfam family "Bacterial small subunit ribosomal RNA", at positions 331 to 800 of the family's 1533-position model. The record is from RNAcentral.
GUACACUCCUACGGGAGGCAGCAGUGGGGAAUAUUGCACAAUGGGCGCAAGCCUGAUGCAGCCAUGCCGCGUGUAUGAAGAAGGCCUUCGGGUUGUAAAGUACUUUCAGCGGGGAGGAAGGCAAUACGGUUAAUAACCGUGUUGAUUGACGUUACCCGCAGAAGUAGCACCGGCUAACUCCGUGCCAGCAGCCGCGGUAAUACGGAGGGUGCAAGCGUUAAUCGGAAUUACUGGGCGUAAAGCGCACGCAGGCGGUCUGUCAAGUCGGAUGUGAAAUCCCCGGGCUCAACCUGGGAACUGCAUUCGAAACUGGCAGGCUUGAGUCUUGUAGAGGGGGGUAGAAUUCCAGGUGUAGCGGUGAAAUGCGUAGAGAUCUGGAGGAAUACCGGUGGCGAAGGCGGCCCCCUGGACAAAGACUGACGCUCAGGUGCGAAAGCGUGGGGAGCAAACAGGAUUAGAUACCCCGGUAGUCCCAUGA